GCCGAAGUGGUGAAAUUGGUAGACGCGCACGGUUCAGGGCCGUGUGGGUGCAAGCCCGUGUGGGUUCGACUCCCACCUUCGGCA
RNAcentral lists this transfer RNA (84 nucleotides) under Candidatus Zhuqueibacterota bacterium. Its description in RNAcentral is "candidate division KSB1 bacterium (freshwater sediment metagenome) tRNA-Leu". It matches the Rfam family "tRNA". From Rfam's summary of the family: Transfer RNA (tRNA) molecules are approximately 80 nucleotides in length. Their secondary structure includes four short double-helical elements and three loops (D, anti-codon, and T loops). Lineage: Bacteria; Pseudomonadati. The record is from RNAcentral.